UGAGGAACCUGCCCUGUAGACCGGAAUAACCACGGGAAACUGUGGCUAAUGCCGGAUAGGACUGUUCACUGCAUGGUGAGCGGUGGAAAUUGGUUUUUUCCGCUAUGGGAUGGCCUCGCGGCCUAUCAGCUUGUUGGUGGGGUGAUGGCUCACCAAGGCGACGACGGGUAGCUGGCGUGAGAGCGCGACCAGCCACACUGGGACUGAGACACGGCCCAGACCU
This 223-nucleotide ribosomal RNA is filed under the name uncultured bacterium. Its description in RNAcentral is "partial 16S ribosomal RNA". It matches the Rfam family "Bacterial small subunit ribosomal RNA", at positions 118 to 338 of the family's 1533-position model. The record is from RNAcentral.